RNAcentral lists this ribosomal RNA (529 nucleotides) under Colletotrichum gloeosporioides. Its description in RNAcentral is "eukaryotic LSU rRNA". The stretch from base 164 to 317 matches the Rfam family "5.8S ribosomal RNA". Lineage: Eukaryota; Fungi; Ascomycota; Sordariomycetes; Glomerellales; Glomerellaceae. The record is from RNAcentral.
CGCUCUACAACCCUUUGUGAACAUACCUAUAACUGUUGCUUCGGCGGGUAGGGUCUCCGCGACCCUCCCGGCCUCCCGCCUCCGGGCGGGUCGGCGCCCGCCGGAGGAUAACCAAACUCUGAUUUAACGACGUUUCUUCUGAGUGGUACAAGCAAAUAAUCAAAACUUUUAACAACGGAUCUCUUGGUUCUGGCAUCGAUGAAGAACGCAGCGAAAUGCGAUAAGUAAUGUGAAUUGCAGAAUUCAGUGAAUCAUCGAAUCUUUGAACGCACAUUGCGCCCGCCAGCAUUCUGGCGGGCAUGCCUGUUCGAGCGUCAUUUCAACCCUCAAGCUCUGCUUGGUGUUGGGGCCCUACAGCUGAUGUAGGCCCUCAAAGGUAGUGGCGGACCCUCUCGGAGCCUCCUUUGCGUAGUAACUUUACGUCUCGCACUGGGAUCCGGAGGGACUCUUGCCGUAAAACCCCCAAUUUUCCAAAGGUUGACCUCGGAUCAGGUAGAGGAAUACCCGCUGAACUUAAGCAUAUCAAUAA